RNAcentral lists this ribosomal RNA (468 nucleotides) under uncultured bacterium. Its description in RNAcentral is "partial 16S ribosomal RNA". It matches the Rfam family "Bacterial small subunit ribosomal RNA", at positions 28 to 507 of the family's 1533-position model. The record is from RNAcentral.
GACGAACGCUGGCGGCGUGCUUAACACAUGCAAGUCGAACGGAAAGGCCCUGCUUUUGUGGGGUGCUCGAGUGGCGAACGGGUGAGUAACACGUGAGUAACCUGCCCUUGACUUUGGGAUAACUUCAGGAAACUGGGGCUAAUACCGGAUAGGAGCUCCUGCUGCAUGGUGGGGGUUGGAAAGUUUCGGCGGUUGGGGUUGGACUCGCGGCUUAUCAGCUUGUUGGUGGGGUAGUGGCUUACCAAGGCUUUGACGGGUAGCCGGCCUGAGAGGGUGACCGGCCACAUGGGGACUGAGAUACGCACCAGACGCCUACGGGAGGCAGCGGGGGGGAAUAUUGCACAAUGGGCGGAAGCCUGAUGCAGCAACGCCGCGGGCGGGAUGACGGCCUGCGGGUUGUAAACCGCUUUCGCCUGUGACGAAGCGUGAGUGACGGUAAUGGGUAAAGAAGCACCGGCUAACUACGUG